Molecule: unclassified non-coding RNA, 309 nt
Filed under: Hevea brasiliensis (rubber tree)
Lineage: Eukaryota; Viridiplantae; Streptophyta; Magnoliopsida; Malpighiales; Euphorbiaceae
Source: RNAcentral
AAAUCAGUUUCCUGGAACGCCCUCUUGCAUUCAUCAAGCAACAUUUUCAGCUGAUUUACCAAUUGAAAAACCAUAUCAUGCCGAUUCAAAACCAAACAAACUGUCAUAAACCGAGCAAGAAACCGAAGUUGCUUGUUGGAAAGAUUAACAUCCUGAAACAUCCCAUCUUUAAAGUACUCCCUAGUCAACACUGCCUCAUAAAAGAUAUAUGACUCAGAUAAAUAGCUGGCUUCACUUGUCCUCAUGUACUGGCCAAAAUAAAGCUGACCAAUUCUAGAUGCAAUAUCCCCAAUCUCCCAUCUCUUGAGA